UGCGGGGUGGAGCAGUCUGGUAGCUCGCCGGGCUCAUAACCCCGAGGGCGUUGGUUCAAAUCCAGCUCCCGCAACCA
This 77-nucleotide transfer RNA is filed under the name Ruminococcus sp. Its description in RNAcentral is "tRNA-Met". It matches the Rfam family "tRNA". From Rfam's summary of the family: Transfer RNA (tRNA) molecules are approximately 80 nucleotides in length. Their secondary structure includes four short double-helical elements and three loops (D, anti-codon, and T loops). Further hydrogen bonds mediate the characteristic L-shaped molecular structure. tRNAs have two regions of fundamental functional importance: the anti-codon, which is responsible for specific mRNA codon recognition, and the 3' end, to which the tRNAs corresponding amino acid is attached (by aminoacyl-tRNA synthetases). tRNAs cope with the degeneracy of the genetic code in two manners: having more than one tRNA (with a specific anti-codon) for a particular amino acid; and 'wobble' base-pairing, i.e. permitting non-standard base-pairing at the 3rd anti-codon position. The record is from RNAcentral. Lineage: Bacteria; Bacillati; Bacillota; Clostridia; Eubacteriales; Oscillospiraceae.